RNAcentral lists this small RNA (202 nucleotides) under Xenorhabdus eapokensis. RNAcentral describes it as "IS009". Lineage: Bacteria; Pseudomonadati; Pseudomonadota; Gammaproteobacteria; Enterobacterales; Morganellaceae. The record is from RNAcentral.
UGAUGGAGUUACCGCCCCCAACACCGGAGCAAUUGCAGCAACAGGCAGAACAGGAAAAACGCUAUCGUAUGUCACAGGCCGCAAAUUCCAUCACUCCACUUCAAUAUGCUGUCGAUCUCAACAUGGCAACAGACACAGAGCAAUCGGCACUGAUCGCGUGGAAAAAAUAUACCGUGUUAUUAAACCGCGUAGACUGUUCGGC